ACUCCUACGGGAGGCAGCAGUGGGAAUAUUGCACAAGGGCGCAANCCUGGAUGCAGCCAUGCCGCGUGUGUGAAGAAGGCCUUCGGGUUGUAAAGCACUUUCAGUCGUGAGGAAGGUAGUGUAGUUAAUAGCUGCAUUAUUUGACGUUAGCGACAGAAGAAGCACCGGCUAAUCUCGUGCCAGCAGCCGCGGUAAUACGGAGGGUGCGAGCGUUAAUCGGAAUUACUGGGCGUAAAGCGCAUGCAGGUGGUUUGUUAAGUCAGAUGUGAAAGCCCGGGGCUCAA
Molecule: ribosomal RNA, 284 nt
Filed under: uncultured bacterium
Lineage: Bacteria
Description: partial 16S ribosomal RNA
Rfam family: Bacterial small subunit ribosomal RNA
Source: RNAcentral